GAAAUAUUUGACUUCGGAUAUUUCGAAAUAUUCAAGCAGUAUUUAUACGAACACCAGUUGGGGCUUUGUAUUCAAUACUGAAUUACAGAGCACAAUGGAUUUGAAACUUACCACAUGUAUACUUUGUGUUGUCUCCAUCAUCGGACACACAGAACAUCAACUGGUAAAGGAUUUACACGCCGUGUUUGGCAACCUCGCACUCUCAAAAAGCAAUGUUCUUAGUAUGGUGCAGUCGACAGCUGCAAGGUCAAGAAGAGCUGCUCAGUCCUGUUCAUUUUCAUCUGUGCUUGUCCGUUUGAAAAAAUGCCCAGGGCAGUCAGAACUCAUUAAAAAUACCAACAACCUGAUGUCUGGCUCCCCGAGCAUAACAGAAAUUUAGGAGUGGAAAUCGAUUUUUUCAAACAUCUGUAAAGAGUCGGAAUGCACCAUUAAGUGUGUAGUUGAUGCCAUUGGAGAAUGCUACCAGCAAGAUCUUUUAUUUGAAUCCGACCCAACAGCAAAGACGGUCGGGAUGCGUGCGUUAUGUGACCCUAAGUACGAUUAUAUUGACAGUGUUCUGAGUUGUUAUGCCUACUCUAACAUUGACACCUGUUUCUCCUUGUUGAGAACAGCUAUAAACGAAGCAGUUCAGAAAUACAGCCGCAAUCCUAGUUCAUAUACGCUACGUGUUGAUGGUUGUAGGGCCUACAAUAGUUACAAGUCUUGCAUCAACGUUACAACAAGAAACAACUGCACAUCUGAGAAAGCCUACUUUUUUAAGAACUUUAUCAAAGCAGGUGUUAGUUACGGCAAAUGUGGUGCUCAAACAAACCCCUUCUUCAGUGACUACGCUGGUAAGAUUCAGUGUCCAUCGGAUGCCGCUAAUGAUAAUGUUACACAAACUCCAUCAGGAGGCGGACAAAGCCGGGGAACAACACAUACCAAUGGAUCGGGUCUCGUAAAACAGACUUUGGCUACACUUCUAAUUACUGUGGCCUUUGUUUGCAUAAGUUUAUAAACUUCCGGAUGUCAUGAUACCUAAUCCACGUGUCUAGUUUGUCUGUUAAAUAUAAAAUGCCUCGACCCUGCUGGGUUUUUUUCGAUUUUUUUUUUAUUUUUGACUGCAAUCUGAACAGCUUCUUUUUCGUUCUAAGGUUUAAAAUUGCUAAAUUUAAAUAAAGCAACCGUAUUGCUUUCACAUAACUUGUUUUGCCCCAUUUUUUAAUUUGUAAGAAAAUAUUUCUAUCUUCUGUAAUGCAAUAACAGACUAGAAUGCACUGUCCGCUGAAAUCUCAAGCAUGUUUUUAUUUUGAAACAAAUAUGGUACAAACCGUCUGGUUGAUAUAGUUAAUAGUGGAUACGUACUAUGUCAUAAUGAUAUUUACUCACUUUCAUAGCAAUGUCAAAAGUGUCUUCAGUUUGAGCCUUUAACUUCUUUUAUUUUAUUUUAAACCUCGUUUCCGCAAAACAUCCUACGCUUGUGUUGGGAUGACAAUAUCUUACACGAGCGGCCAUGAAUAAAAAAUAAUACUUAUAAUUCCAAGCCAACGACUAUACCGUUGAUAUGACGGCGGAUGCUUUUUAUAAGUUCUAAAAGUCAAAUGCAAAUUAUAAUGUAAACUGAUGAUUGGUUCUUUCUGUCACUUUUAGCACUCAAUAUGUAAGCGUGUAAAAAUAGCGUUUAUAUAAUAGCACUUAUUCAACUUUUAUACAUUAAGUAAGUGAUCGACCCGUUUUCCACGUUUUCGACCGAUGACAAAAUAUUCAAUCACUUUGGAAAGCGACAAUAUACCAACAGCAUUUUCGUGUUUUUAAUAAUGAAUUGGAUUGAGAUGUUCCUCUUUCACCAUCAUACGAUGUUUUUAUUGCACAGUUGAUAAGAUUUCAUAGAAUAUGCACAUAUGUCAAAGAAUUCAGCUUUCGCAGUAAACUUAUGACGGAAACACUUCUUAAACAGAGGUUCAGAUGUUAAUUGUCAUUAUAUUAUUAUAUCUAAGUGCAAUAGUAGUCUUAAAUUGCUGAUUCCGAGCAGUAUUUGUCAUCCAGAUUUUUAUAGUGAUUUAAUAAAAAAAGAUUCGUAACAUUAAAAGGUUUCCAGCAGCUGGUUCGGAAGAUAGAGUCAAUAAUUAUGAAGUGUGUUGUUUGUGGAGUUUUGUUUUGUUGUUCCCUAUUUUCUGCUUUGCGAUUGUUUGUUUUUGUGUUCUAUGUCAUUGGCGUUGACCCUGUGCCAUAAAACCGGGAUUAUGUUUAAACUUUCGACUACUGGACUUGUUUCUGUAGUGUUUUCAUAUAACUAUUGAUUAC
Long non-coding RNA from Mya arenaria, 2283 nucleotides. RefSeq lists it as uncharacterized. Lineage: Eukaryota; Metazoa; Mollusca; Bivalvia; Myida; Myidae. The transcript has 6 exons. The record is from RefSeq and is a predicted model, not a curated record.